GCGGUUUUUUCUGGAUGUUCUUUGUCCGCUUCGUUUCAUGCCCUCCUGUCAUGUCUUCGGGCUGAGCAGGGGAGGAAACAAAAACUUGUC
This 90-nucleotide non-coding RNA is filed under the name Penicillium subrubescens. Lineage: Eukaryota; Fungi; Ascomycota; Eurotiomycetes; Eurotiales; Aspergillaceae. The record is from Rfam by way of RNAcentral.